Molecule: ribosomal RNA, 1230 nt
Filed under: metagenome
Description: bacterial SSU rRNA
Rfam family: Archaeal small subunit ribosomal RNA
Source: RNAcentral
CACGUCGAUAAUCCGCCCUAAAGUCUGGGAUAACCUCGGGAAACUGAGACUAACACCGGAUAAAAGAUUAUGGCUGGAAUGCCUUAUCUUUAAAAAGCAAUGCUUUAGGAUGAGUCGGCGGCGGAUUAGGCAGUUGGCGGGGUAAUGGCCCACCAAACCGAAGAUCCGUAGGGGCCUUGAGAGAGGUAGCCCCGAGAAGGACACUGAGAUACUGGUCCUAGCCCUACGGGGUGCAGCAGGCGCGAAACCUUUACAUUGCACGAAAGUGUGAUAAGGGAAUCCCAAGUGCUUAUGCUUUGCAUAGGCUUUUUUCAAGGUUAGAACCCUUGGAGAAUAAGUGGUGGGUGAGACUGGUGCCAGCCGCCGCGGUAACACCAGCGCCACAAGUGGGGACCACAUUUAUUGGGCCUAAAGCGUUCGUAGCAGGUUUAGUAAAUCUCUUGUGAAAUUGUUGGGCUCAACCUAACAGUGUGCAGGAGAGACUGCUAGACUUGAGACCGGGAGGGGUCAGAGGUAUUUAAGGGGGAGCGGUAAAAUGCUAUAAUCCCUUGAGGACCACCUGUAGCGAAGGCGUCUGACCAGAACGGAUCUGACUGUGAGGGACGAAAGCUAGGGGAGCAAUCCGGAUUAGAUACCCGAGUAGUCCUAGCUGUAAACGCUGCGAGAAAGGUGUUGCAUAUUCUCCGUGAAUAUGCAGUGUCGAAACGAAGGUGUUAAUCUCGCCGCCUGGGAAGUACGGUCGCAAGACUGAAACUUAAAGGAAUUGGCGGGGGAGCACCACAAGGGGUGCGGCGUGCGGUUUAAUCUAACUCAACGCAGAAAAUCUCACUAGAGGCGACGGCAGGAUGAAGGUCUGGCUGAAUACCAUACCCAACGAGCCGAGAGAUAGUGCAUGGCCGCCGUCAGCUCGUGCCGUAAGGUGUCCUGUUAAGUCAGGCAACGAGCGAGACCUGUGCUUAUAAUUGCUAACGACUAAUUCAUUAGGAUCGAGCACAUUAUAAGAACUGCCCUCGAAAGGGGGAGGUAGGUGCAGGCUACGGUAGGUCUGUAUGCUCCGAAUCUUCUAGGCUACACGCGCGCAACAAUGGUACGGACAAUAGGAUGCAACUCCGAAAGGAGAAGCUAAUCCCCUAAACCGUAUCUUAGUCCAGAUUGAGGGCUGUAACUCGCCCUCAUGACGAUGGAAUCCCUAGUAAUCGGGUUUCAAUACGGCCCGGUGAAUAUGUCCCU